Molecule: ribosomal RNA, 253 nt
Filed under: uncultured bacterium
Lineage: Bacteria
Description: partial 16S ribosomal RNA
Rfam family: Bacterial small subunit ribosomal RNA
Source: RNAcentral
UACGUAGGUGGCAAGCGUUGUCCGGAUUUACUGGGCGUAAAGAGCGCGCAGGCGGUCGUUCAAGUCGCGUGUGAAAGCCCCCGGCUCAACUGGGGAGGGUCACGCGAUACUGCUCGACUCGAAGGCAGGAGAGGGAAGUGGAAUUCCCGGUGUAGUGGUGAAAUGCGUAGAUAUCGGGAGGAACACCAGUGGCGAAGGCGACUUCCUGGCCUGUUCUUGACGCUGAGGCGCGAAAGCUAGGGGAGCAAACGGG